RNAcentral lists this long non-coding RNA (239 nucleotides) under Elaeis guineensis (African oil palm). RNAcentral's name for it is "long non-coding RNA (EGUI_LNC072222)". The record is from RNAcentral. Lineage: Eukaryota; Viridiplantae; Streptophyta; Magnoliopsida; Arecales; Arecaceae.
CGCCCUUCGAAUUAUCAAGAUUAAAUAUAAAAUCAGCUUCAACUUUAUUGGACAGUAGAUUAGCCCUAUUCAAAGGAGUUGUCACAAGUUCUUCGUCAACAAGGAGCUCAGUCAAUGUUUGUUCUUCCUCUUGAAAAGCUUCCUCUUCAUGUAGAUCUAAAUUUUUGUCCAUUUCUAGUUGGAUUGGUAUGUCAUAUAUGUUUCUAAAUAUUAUUCUUUGUACGACAUGCCAAUCAUCU